UACGUAGGGUGCAAGCGUUGUCCGGAAUUACUGGGCGUAAAGGGCGCGUAGGCGGCGCGACAAGUCACUUGUGAAAUCUCUGGGCUCAACCCAGAACGGUCAAGUGAUACUGUCGUGCUAGAGUGCGGAAGGGGCAACUGGAAUUCUUGGUGUAGCGGUGAAAUGCGUAGAUAUCAAGAGGAACACCUGCGGCGAAGGCGGGUUGCUGGGCCGACACUGACGCUGAGGCGCGAAAGCUAGGGGAGCGAACGGG
RNAcentral lists this ribosomal RNA (253 nucleotides) under uncultured bacterium. Its description in RNAcentral is "partial 16S ribosomal RNA". It matches the Rfam family "Bacterial small subunit ribosomal RNA", at positions 524 to 776 of the family's 1533-position model. The record is from RNAcentral.